ACAGUCCUGGGCUCCCCACACCUAGAGUACUAACACAUCAGUCAUUCUAACAAGGUCAGUUAGAGGGAUGACCUUGCUGAGAAAGUGACAGAGGAGCCAGUCCUUGUGCAGCAAAGAUGUGGGGAGGGAGACCAGACAACAAAAGGAGAUUUUGCAACAAUAAGAACAUAGUCAAGAUCAGAAGAGGGAAGGAGAAUGAAAUUGGUAGUAAAAAAAGAGCAAAUUCACAUGAAUAUCAGGUCCACAACAGACACUGUCUGCAACCACCCUCAGAUACAGGAUCUGCAGCCUAUGCCAGGCCAAGAAGACAAGUUUCAUUGGGCAAUUGAACACAUUAAUCAAGCAGAGGUUCUUCAUGGGACAGACAAGUGGCUUCUACAAAUAUUUAGACAUAUCCUGAUGGACGCCUGCUUCAAUCUCUCAGAAGAAUCAUUCUGUCAGGAUGACCAGACAUGAAGAAUCAUAGAAGUGUAGGAUGGGAAGGGAUCUCUAGAGGCCAUCUAGUCUGGUACCCUGC
Chelonoidis abingdonii (Abingdon island giant tortoise) is the source of this 517-nucleotide non-coding RNA. The record is from RefSeq and is a predicted model, not a curated record. NCBI's taxonomy places the organism in Eukaryota, Metazoa, Chordata, Testudines, Testudinidae.